This is a non-coding RNA of Durio zibethinus, 1153 nucleotides long. Lineage: Eukaryota; Viridiplantae; Streptophyta; Magnoliopsida; Malvales; Malvaceae. The record is from RefSeq and is a predicted model, not a curated record.
GAUUCAUAUCCUUUCAAAAAUUAAUUCAAGGUUUGUUGCAUUUGCAAGAAUGCAUCAACCGAACAAAAUGACAAAGGAAGUCCCCCACUCAUUCUUCCAAAAGUCCAUUUUAUUUUGCUUUUGCAUAAUCACCACAACAUUUGUCAGAAUCCAGACAAGCGUUACAUAACCAUCCAAUGACACAAAAAACCAUGACAUAACACGUAACUGCUCUCACUUUCCUGGCUACAAAGCCCCAAACUAGAAAAACAAGACAAAACAUAUAUCAACUUCAGGUUCAAAUUUUUCUGACAAUUUCAGCUCAAGUAUCUUGAUUUGUUUUCAAUGGAGUACCAGGAUGUUUAUGAUGUGGAGUUGAAACCUAGGAUACUAGCGUACUUGAUGAAUGACCAAAUUCCUAAUGAGACUGACCCUUCACUUCAACACUGUGAUUUGCAGAGAAUUGUGAAUGCCAUCAGGAAUCUUGGGUUGCUUUCUGAAUCAUUCCCUGAAGAAGCUAAUAACUCUAGGAUUGUUGAAGAUUGGGCUAUUGCUGUUGAUUCUUGGGUUGAUCGAGUACUCUCCCUCGUGUCUAGUCCAAGGUCACGCAAAUGUUGGACAGGCAUAUGUUUACUGGGGGUGACCUGUCAAGAAUGCAGCUCCGACCGUUUACUAGCAGAGUACCCUCUUUGGUUCGAUAAACUCAAAUCAAAUAUCCAGGCAUGAGCUCUUUUUCUUACACUUCUCUACCAUUUCCAAGAACUAUAUAUAUGAGCUUUACUGUUUGGAAAGUCAUAGAGUGGAUUAUCUUGCAUCGUCUCAUCUUACUGUGAAUUUCAGGACGUGAUCUUAACUUUGCUGCUAAAUUUGUUAUUUCUGGAGCUAGUAAUGAAAUUACUGUCAGGAAAAAUUCUUAAUAGUUUUUGUGAUUGUGUUUUGGCAUGGUUCUUGAUUUUCUAACAUGGCAUGUGGUUUCUUGUGAUUUUUGCAGCCAGCAUCAGAUUAUAUUUCUGUUAAGGUGGCCACUUUUGCCUCCUUGUCGAAUCUGUUGAAAAGGCUGGGUAGAUAUUCGGACGUUAAGAAAGAUGCUACAGCGCAAGCUGGGAAGCUCAUUCAACCUGUUUUGGAGCUUUUAUUAGAUAAUGAAUUUUCAGAGGUGGUACUGGUAAGCUGU